This 376-nucleotide ribosomal RNA is filed under the name Clostridioides difficile. Its description in RNAcentral is "partial 23S ribosomal RNA". It matches the Rfam family "Bacterial large subunit ribosomal RNA", at positions 891 to 1277 of the family's 2925-position model. Lineage: Bacteria; Bacillati; Bacillota; Clostridia; Peptostreptococcales; Peptostreptococcaceae. The record is from RNAcentral.
AGAUACGGAGGUAGAGCACUGAAUGUCCUAGGGGGUAUUGCACCUACCGAAGACUAUCAAACUCCGAAUGCCGUCAUCUUAUACUUGGGAGUCAGACUGUGGGUGAUAAGAUUCAUAGUCGAAAGGGCAACAGCCCAGAUCGUCAGCUAAGGUCCUAAGGUAGGUUAAGUGGUAAAGGAUGUAGGAUUGCACAGCCAACCAUGAUGUUGGCUAUGUAGCGUGCGCGCAUUCAAAGAGUGCGUAAUAGCGCUCUGGUCGAGUGAUCCUGCGCCGAAGAUUUCCGGGGCUAAAACUUACUGCCGACGCUACGGCAUCAGUAAUGAUGGGUAGGGGAGCUUCCCAUACGGGUUGAAGCAUGACCGUAAGGACAUGUGGA